AAGUCGUAACAAGGUUUCCGUAGGUGAACCUGCGGAAGGAUCAUUGUCGAAUCCUGCAUAGCAGAACGACCAGUGAACAAGUUAUCAUACACACGGGCGCUCGGCGGGGCUCCGGCCCUUCUGCAGCCCUGAUUGCUGAGGGGAGUAGUGCGAGGAUCUCUUUCCCUGUGCUGCUUUCCCCUCAGCUAAGCAACCAACCCCGGCGCAGGACGCGCCAAGGAAAAAGGAACUGAAAAGAGCGCGCUUUCUUUGGACCCAGAAAUGGACCAACCAAGGGAUGCGUCGUCUUCUUUUGAAAACCAAAACGACUCUCGGCAACGGAUAUCUCGGCUCUCGCAUCGAUGAAGAACGCAGCGAAAUGCGAUACUUGGUGUGAAUUGCAGAAUCCCGUGAACCAUCGAGUUUUUGAACGCAAGUUGCGCCCGAAGCCUUUCGGCCGAGGGCACGUCUGCCUGGGUGUCACGCAAUCGUCGCUCCAAACCCCUUUGCCCUAGGCAAGGGGUGCCGGGCGGAUACUGGCCUCCCGUGAGCUUGUCGCUCCCGGUUGGCCUAAAAAUUGAAUCUUUGGCUGUGAACGCCACGACUAUCGGUGGUUGCAAGACCUUCGGGCACGGUCGUGUGCGCCAGCAUGCCUCGGAACAUGCAGACCCGUUGUGCGUCCUAGUGCGCGCUCCCAAUGCGACCCCAGGUCAGGCGGGAACACCCGCUGAGUUUAA
This 716-nucleotide ribosomal RNA is filed under the name Baliospermum calycinum. Its description in RNAcentral is "eukaryotic LSU rRNA". The stretch from base 307 to 462 matches the Rfam family "5.8S ribosomal RNA". Lineage: Eukaryota; Viridiplantae; Streptophyta; Magnoliopsida; Malpighiales; Euphorbiaceae. The record is from RNAcentral.